AUUUAAAGAAACGACAAAAUGAUCACUGUCAGCAGACAGUGGACUUGAAUUUUUAAGACAAAUAUAAUACAUAAUCAAUUUAUAUUCUUGGAUUCUACCAUUUAAAUAACAAAUACGUGUAGUAGAAUUUAAUUCAUCAUUCAUCUGUACGCUUUGAUCAAAUUUAAAUAUCUACUAUUACUCCUAAGCUGGCUAAACUUAUGGACGCUAAUGUACAUACCUGUAAUCAAAUAGUAUCGAGCAACACUUACACGAAAAAUCGCAUCAUAAAUAUAUAAACGCACGUCGUCGGCGUAAUGUUACGAUAAUUGCAAUUUUGUGUCAAUGCUAUCAGCAGUAUCGACUCAUAGUCACGAGUAAACUUUCAUCAUACAUUGUUUCAAGAGUUGGUUCGAUUGAAUCAUCGUGACCACUGCUAACCUGUGAAAUUUUGCCACGUUCCGACUGUAUGCAUAAAUGGACUUGUGAUUCGCAAGGCGAACAACUUAAAGAUUUAAACGACUGCUAGAAAAUUUGAAUAUCAUUGAGAAUGAUUGCGCGGCAUCAGCUACUGGAAUUGCAGUUUUGGAAACAUUACUUUCGAGCUUCUUCUUUUUGAAGAUUACUAACUAAUCUUGGAACCAUAAUCUUAUGAAUAAAGAUUGCAAGAGAGACCUUUUUCUUACCUGAAAAAAGAAGUUUGUUGCUAUAACAAUUUUAGAACCUAGGAAAAGAAUAAUGCCUAAUUAGGAUGUUUAAAAAAUAUAUAAUGGUGAACACUUAAUAAUUGAAAUUGCUUUCAUUUUCCAAAAGCAAAAGAGUUUCUUAACAAAAUCACAGAGGUCUUAAUGUAUAUAGUAAUUAUCCAUUUGUUAUCAGAAUUCACAUUACGUUUGGUAUUGUUACAGAUUAAGAUUACUUCGUCUUCCGAGUAUUAGCGCGAUAUCCUGAAGCCAGCUGCAAUACUGGCAAGACGUCGGAAACCUUCUUCCUCUGGACUGUCUGUCCAGGAAGCUUCAAACUGUCUUAGCUAAAGUAAUAUUAAAUAUAACAGUGCCAAGUGAUAAUAUAGACCAUCAAGACUCUCAUUUGUUACUGUUCAUUGUUUCACUAUUUCAAAAAUGAAGCUUCGAACGAAACAGCAUUAAAUAAAUGAUCUUUACUGAAACCUUUUCAAUUCUUACACUUGUACGAUUUCUUCAUAUAAAGUCACUCGUUUUUACUUAUACGAGUCGCUGAUGGAAUCUCACUCCUCGUCUUUAUAUUUUUUAGGAAACACUGUUCCAUCUUGAUUGAAUAUUUUUAUAUUGAAUAUUAUUAUA
Bombus pyrosoma is the source of this 1301-nucleotide long non-coding RNA. RefSeq lists it as uncharacterized. NCBI's taxonomy places the organism in Eukaryota, Metazoa, Arthropoda, Insecta, Hymenoptera, Apidae. The record is from RefSeq and is a predicted model, not a curated record. The transcript is spliced from 3 exons.